CAUCUAGUAGCUGGUUCCUUCCGAAGUUUCCCUCAGGAUAGCUGGUGCAUUUUAAUAUUAUAUAAAAUAAUCUUAUCUGGUAAAGCGAAUGAUUAGAGGCCUUAGGGUCGAAACGAUCUUAACCUAUUCUCAAACUUUAAAUGGGUAAGAACCUUAACUUUCUUGAUAUGAAGUUCAAGGUUAUGAUAUAAUGUGCCCAGUGGGCCACUUUUGGUAAGCAGAACUGGCGCUGUGGGAUGAACCAAACGUAAUGUUACGGUGCCCAAAUUAACAACUCAUGCAGAUACCAUGAAAGGCGUUGGUUGCUUAAAACAGCAGGACGGUGAUCAUGGAAGUCGAAAUCCGCUAAGGAGUGUGUAACAACUCACCUGCCGAAGCAACUAGCCCUUAAAAUGGAUGGCGCUUAAGUUGUAUACCUAUACAUUACCGCUAAAGUAGAUGAUUUAUAUUACUUGUGAUAUAAAUUUUGAAACUUUAGUGAGUAGGAAGGUACAAUGGUAUGCGUAGAAGUGUUUGGCGUAAGCCUGCAUGGAGCUGCCAUUGGUACAGAUCUUGGUGGUAGUAGCAAAUAAUCGAAUGAGACCUUGGAGGACUGAAGUGGAGAAGGGUUUCGUGUGAACAGUGGUUGAUCACGAGUUAGUCGGUCCUAAGUUCAAGGCGAAAGCCGAAAAUUUUCAAGUAAAACAAAAAUGCCUAACUAUAUAAACAAAGCGAAUAUAAUACACUUGAAUAAUUUUGAACGAAAGGGAAUACGGUUCGAAUUCCGUAACCUGUUGAGUAUCCGUUUGUAAUAAAUAUGGGCCUCGUGCUCAUCCUGGCAACAGGAACGACCAUAAAGAAGCCGUCGAGAGAUAUCGGAAGAGUUUUCUUUUCUGUUUUAUAGCCGUACUACCAUGGAAGUCUUUCGCAGAGAGAUAUGGUAGAUGGGCUAGAAGAGCAUGACAUAUACUGUUGUGUCGAUAUUUUCUCCUCGGACCUUGAAAAUUUAUGGUGGGGACACGCAAACUUCUCAACAGUCCGUACCAAUAUCCGCAGCUGGUCUCCAAGGUGAAGAGUCUCUAGUCGAUAGAAUAAUGUAGGUAAGGGAAGUCGGCAAAUUAGAUCCGUAACUUCGGGAUAAGGAUUGGCUCUGAAGAUUGAGAUAGUCGGGCUUGAUUGGGAAACAAUAACAUGGUUUAUGUGCUCGUUCUGGGUAAAUAGAGUUUCUAGCAUUUAUGUUAGUUACUUGUUCCCCGGAUAGUUUAGUUACGUAGCCAAUUGUGGAACUUUCUUGCUAAAAUUUUUAAGAAUACUAUUUGGGUUAAACCAAUUAGUUCUUAUCAAUUAUAACGAUUAUCAAUUAACAAUCAAUUCAGAACUGGCACGGACUUGGGGAAUCCGACUGUCUAAUUAAAACAAAGCAUUGUGAUGGCCCUAGCGGGUGUUGACACAAUGUGAUUUCUGCCCAGUGCUCUGAAUGUCAAGUGAAGAAAUUCAAGUAAGCGCGGGUCAACGGCGGGAGUACUAUGACUCUCUUAAGGUAGCCAAAUGCCUCGUCAUCUAAUUAGUGACGCGCAUGAAUGGAUUAACGAGAUUCCUACUGUCCCUAUCUACUAUCUAGCGAAACCACAGCCAAGGGAACGGGCUUGGAAUAAUUAGCGGGGAAAGAAGACCCUUUUGAGCUUGACUCUAAUCUGGCAGUGUAAGGAGACAUAAGAGGUGUAGAAUAAGUGGGAGAUAUUAGACCUCGGUUUGGUAUCGUCAAUGAAAUACCACUACUCUUAUUGUUUCCUUACUUACUUGAUUAAAUGGAACGUGUAUCAUUUCCUAGCCAUUAUACGGAUAUAUUUAUUAUAUCUUAUGGUAUUGGGUUUUGAUGCAAGCUUCUUGAUCAAAGUAUCACGAGUUUGUUAUAUAAUCGCAAACAAAUUCUUUAAUAAAACGAUGCAUUUAUGUAUUUUUGAUUUGAAAAUUUGGUAUAACUCCAAUUACUCAGGUAUGAUCCAAUUCAAGGACAUUGCCAGGUAGGGAGUUUGACUGGGGCGGUACAUCUCUCAAAUAAUAACGGAGGUGUCCCAAGGCCAGCUCAGUGCGGACAGAAACCACACAUAGAGCAAAAGGGCAAAUGCUGACUUGAUCUCGGUGUUCAGUACACACAGGGACAGCAAAAGCUCGGCCUAUCGAUCCUUUUGGUUUAAAGAGUUUUUAACAAGAGGUGUCAGAAAAGUUACCAUAGGGAUAACUGGCUUGUGGCGGCCAAGCGUUCAUAGCGACGUCGCUUUUUGAUCCUUCGAUG
This is a ribosomal RNA of Drosophila sechellia, 2275 nucleotides long. It matches the Rfam family "Eukaryotic large subunit ribosomal RNA", at positions 941 to 2883 of the family's 3401-position model. NCBI's taxonomy places the organism in Eukaryota, Metazoa, Arthropoda, Insecta, Diptera, Drosophilidae. The record is from Rfam.